GUACUCGCUUUGGCAGCACAUAUACUAAAACUGGAAUGAUAAGCAUGGCCCCUGCAUGAGAAUGACAUGUAAAUUGAUGAAGCAUUCCAUUUUUUU
Cercocebus atys (sooty mangabey) is the source of this 96-nucleotide small nuclear RNA. Lineage: Eukaryota; Metazoa; Chordata; Mammalia; Primates; Cercopithecidae. The record is from Ensembl.